This is a long non-coding RNA of Vespa mandarinia (Asian giant hornet), 2566 nucleotides long. RefSeq lists it as uncharacterized. NCBI's taxonomy places the organism in Eukaryota, Metazoa, Arthropoda, Insecta, Hymenoptera, Vespidae. The record is from RefSeq and is a predicted model, not a curated record.
AUCCUUUAAUACUUCUUUCAAUAUAGAUCCUGUAUUUCUUGCUGGGACAAAAUCUGGGAAUGUUGGAAGUGUAACAUUAGAAAGCAACAAUGUAGAAUGAUUAGACGACGUUGAAUGCUGUCUGCUAUGCGUUGGACGAGAAUAUUAGCAACGGGUGGGAAACCCCACGAGGUAAUAUGAGCUUCUACAUUUUACACACUCACGGUUACCGCAUGAGAUUACCCACUUCUACGUUACCACCAAUUUUGUAACACAUCGACAGACGUUCUCAACGAGAUGAUCGGAGCUCAGUGUUCCCAACGAGAAUUAGGAUGAUUGUCUAUUGCAUUAGAAAUAGUCGUGGGUAUUGAAAGGACACUAAUGCUUCGACGAUUCGAGUUAAGAAGGAAAAUGCAUCCGCCGCGGGCAGCCGUAUUAUUAGCGACUUAGUAUUGUUAUGCACGUUUACAUAAGCAUCUGAUAGUGUGUCAGACAUUGAAUGAGAAAGAAAGAGAAAGAGAGAGGGGAGAGAGAGAGAGAGAGAGAGAGAGAGAGAGAGAGAGAGAGAGAGAGAAAGAGACAAUACGAAACACUGUGAUGUAUACACGUCGUUGUUGGUUGUGUUAUGUCCUAGCGUGCAGAGGUCCGUGGCAAAAUGUAAAAAAGAAAUAAAAGAAGAAAAAGACGAAGAAAAAAAAAAAGAACGAGAAAGAUAGAAAAAAUAAAAAAGAGAAAUAAAAAGAGAGUCGAGAAUUAUGCAAUUCGAAUAUUAUUAUCGCUCGUAAGAAAAAGGAAAAAAAAAAAGAAAAAGUUAUGACUUUACAGGAAACAAAAUAUCAGUUUAUAUAUAUAUAUUAUUAUUAUUAUUAUUAUUACUACUUUUAGUAUUAUUAUUAUUAUUAUUAUUAUUAUAUUAAGAGACACUACGCGUCAUGUGAUCCAAUAGGCCAUUCGAAUUUGCCCGCGUAACCGAAUGAGAAAGGAUGUCAAGAUUUUGCACGCGGAGACCUUACAAAAUCCUUGUCAUUCCACGAAGAUUGUCUGAGUUAUGCAACGAACGUUCUACGAUGGCCAAGUUGUCCUUACACGACUCUGAUAUAUUUAGCUUUUUUAUUUUUCUCUCUCUCUCUCUCUCUCUUUUUUUUUCCUUUUGUUUUCUUUUUUCAUCUUCAUCUUCUUCUUCUUCUUCAUUUUUAAACUAAACAUCCAUAAGCUUAAUAUUUUUGAUUAUAAUAGAGGAUCAGAGAAUGGGGAUGGUCACGUGGUAUGAUAGACGCGAUCGGCCAUCUUUUUGAUACGCGAAGAAACAAAAAUGGCGUCGAAUUUGGAUAUAAAAAAAACUUUCAUAUCAAUUGCGUUUUACCAAUAUGAAAUUAAUUACCUCAUAAUUCUUUAAAAGUGAAUCAAUGUGUGUAUGUGUGUGUGUAUGUGUGUAUAUGUGUGUACAAGGUGGACCAAGUUUUUAGAUUAAAAAAAAAAAAAAAAAUUCUUUUUCGAGACUGUAAAUUAAUUUAUUUACUUUUUUCAGAUUGUAAAAUUAUAAACCUUAAGAAUUUAAGAUCCAUACUGUGUGUAUAUAUAUAUACGCACACACACACAUACAUACAUACAUACAUACAUACAUAUAUAUAUAUAUAUAUAUAUAUAUAUCGUCGUCAUUAGUCACGAAACGGUGUCUCAAAAAGGCCCAUAAAGAGGAGGAUAUAACUAAACAUAAGUUCUCUUUCCACGUAUACAAUGCAUCGUUCCUUUGACACCAGACUUUUAAAAACGCGUCCGAAAGAGGCUCUUCAUCUAAAAGUCAAUUCGUAGUUCGCUUUUCAGAGAACGCAUAGCCCGUCGGUGAGUCGAUCGUGAUAAAGAGAAAGGAAAAGAAAAAAAGAGAGAGAGAGAGAGAGAGAGAGAGAGAGAGAGAGAGAGAGAGAGAGAGAAAGAGAGAGAAGGAAGAAAACCGAAGGCGAUACACUUCGCCUUGCCAUAGAUUCGAUCUUCCUUGGAAAUGCAAAUAACGGUUAAAGACCAUUUUUUAUAUUCAUCUUUUUUAAGAUCUCUCUCUAACAUCUAUUGUGUUGCUAACUAAAACCGGAUGGAUAAUAAUAUCCUUAUGGACAUUUUAAGUCGAAGGUCUCCUACUCUUCAUCAUCGGUUUACUACUGUCAAUAUUUUCUAUUAAUUUUAUUGCUAAUCAUUUAUCUCCUUGGUCUACUUUAUCUCUUUUAUAUAUAUAUAUAUAUAUAUAUUUCUUUAUAAUAAUCUUUUAUGAAUUAUUUAUAACAAACAAUUUCGUCGUUUUAUUUUCUUUUCUUUUUCUUUUUCUUUUUUUUUUCCCCUUCUUCAUAAUAACAUUACUUCAUAAUAACAUACUUCUUGUAAAAUGUUAAUAUUGUAAGAGAUGAUUAAGGAUAAUAUAUUAUUUAGUAAAGAAAGGAGGAGGUUCUAAUAGAGAAACUUUGACUACCGUUCAUGUAGGACAAAGUAAGAGAGACCUCAGAGUUAAUCGGUAAUCUUAUCCUGUAACCAAGUCGUUUUCAUAUCUUUCUCUCUUUCUUUCUCUUUUGCAUAUCUCUUUGGAUAAAGACAAAAAAAA